UGCCCAGCAUAUCGUAUCCCUCCCUCCGCGCGGUAUUGGCCGGGGAACAUUGGACGUAUGCUGACAGGGUAG
This is a non-coding RNA of Aedes aegypti (yellow fever mosquito), 72 nucleotides long. The record is from Rfam. NCBI's taxonomy places the organism in Eukaryota, Metazoa, Arthropoda, Insecta, Diptera, Culicidae.